Monodelphis domestica (gray short-tailed opossum) is the source of this 103-nucleotide small nuclear RNA. Lineage: Eukaryota; Metazoa; Chordata; Mammalia; Didelphimorphia; Didelphidae. The record is from Ensembl.
AUGCUAAUUUUAGCAGCACAUGUACUAAAAUUGAAACAAUAAAGAGAAGAUCAGCAUGGCUCCUGUUUAAGGAUGACAUGCACAUUCAUGAAACUUUAUUUUU